GCUUCUUGUAAUAUGAUGGACCAUUUAAUUGAAUGAUACUUCAUUGUUAUUAGCACUUGUAAUUGGUAUAUAUAAAGAUAAGGUUAACACUCAUAUUUAAACUUUGAGUUGCAUCACUGCUUUUCAUGCCACCUCCUAAAUAGAAAUUAAUCUAUUUCAGUAUGCCUCACCGCUUGGAACCCUACUGAUGGUUGGAAAGAAACCAUUCUACUAUCAAUAGGUGGAUUAGUAUGGUCUCAACAUCAGUGAGAUUGUUUCAUAAGAUUUAACUCCUAUAUGCAAUCGGUCUCAAGCAGAACAAAGAAAAGUUGCUUGAUGAUGGUAAAGAUGGGAGCCCAGUUUUACCGCCAUGUGCAUUUCAAGGACUUUUUGAAGCCUCACUGUGAUGUACCUGGAGACAGGCUAUGGCUAUAAACAGUUACAUAUCUGAAGUGUUACAUUUUUAAGGAAGGCACUAAAAAGAGCUUUCCUUGUGUCUAGAAAGAAUCUAGACAUAUAUACUGCAAUCAACAUACUUAUGUUACCAUAUACUUUUAAUUAUAGUGUGGUUUUAAUUAUUUAAGCAAAGUAUGAAGCAUAUCCUGUGGUUAUGAUAGGCAUACAUUUGUUGGGAAACCUGUUUUUAUUUUAAUAAGAGCAUCCUUCUCUGAUUUAGUUAAACAUCUCACUUUUAUUUCCACUUGAUUUGAGUUUUUCUCAUCGAAUAUAUUUUUGCCUUUCUAUAAUCACUCAGUAAUUCCAGUUUGCACAUCUUUUUUAAAAUUAUAGGAGUCAAGUUGUAAUUCUGAAGCUUUAACUCAGAAGUAACUAUAGUUGUUUGUAAAAUGUCAUUUGAUAAUGUGUACAUUAGUCAUUCAAGUAAAUUUUAUCUUAA
Molecule: long non-coding RNA, 874 nt
Filed under: Bos taurus (domestic cattle)
Lineage: Eukaryota; Metazoa; Chordata; Mammalia; Artiodactyla; Bovidae
Description: long non-coding RNA NONBTAT007581
Source: RNAcentral